Molecule: ribosomal RNA, 578 nt
Filed under: Mesorhizobium sp. E111
Lineage: Bacteria; Pseudomonadati; Pseudomonadota; Alphaproteobacteria; Hyphomicrobiales; Phyllobacteriaceae
Description: bacterial SSU rRNA
Rfam family: Bacterial small subunit ribosomal RNA
Source: RNAcentral
CGACGAACGCUGGCGGCAGGCUUAACACAUGCAAGUCGAGCGCCUCGCAAGAGGAGCGGCAGACGGGUGAGUAACGCGUGGGAAUCUACCCAUCUCUACGGAACAACUCCGGGAAACUGGAGCUAAUACCGUAUACGUCCUUCGGGAGAAAGAUUUAUCGGAGAUGGAUGAGCCCGCGUUGGAUUAGCUAGUUGGUGGGGUAAUGGCCUACCAAGGCGACGAUCCAUAGCUGGUCUGAGAGGAUGAUCAGCCACAUUGGGACUGAGACACGGCCCAAACUCCUACGGGAGGCAGCAGUGGGGAAUAUUGGACAAUGGGCGAAAGCCUGAUCCAGCCAUGCCGCGUGAGUGAUGAAGGCCCUAGGGUUGUAAAGCUCUUUCAACGGUGAAGAUAAUGACGGUAACCGUAGAAGAAGCCCCGGCUAACUUCGUGCCAGCAGCCGCGGUAAUACGAAGGGGGCUAGCGUUGUUCGGAAUUACUGGGCGUAAAGCGCACGUAGGCGGAUAUUUAAGUCAGGGGUGAAAUCCCGGGGCUCAACCCCGGAACUGCCUUUGAUACUGGGUAUCUCGAGUCCGAAG